CCUUACCCGCUGAACUUAAGCAUAUUAUUAAGCGGAGGAAAAGAAACUAACCAGGAUUCCCUCAGUAAGGGCGACUGAAGCGGGAAGUGCUCAGGAUGUGAAUCUGCGCUAUGCGCCGAAUUGUGGUCUGUAGACGGUGGCAUUACCAGCCGGGCCAAGUCCCUUGGAACAGGGCAGCUGAGAGGGUGAGACUCCCGUCCGCCCGGCAGGAUGAGCUACUAGUCAACGAGUCGAGUUGUUUGGGAUUGCAGCUCAAAGCGGGUGGUAAAUUCCAUCUAAAGCUAAAUACUGGUGAGAGACCGAUAGCGUACAAGUACCGUGAGGGAAAGAUGCAAAGAACUUUGAAAAGAGAGUUAAAGAGUACCUGAAAUCGCUGAAAGGGAAGCGAAGGAAACCAGUGUUUGCGUAGUCAUACUUCCCGGGCCGCUUGCGGUCUGGGCGCUGUGGCUGUGCUUGUGUUUUGCUUGGUUGGAACGUGCGGAAGAGCGGUGAGGGAGUUGACCUCAUUUGCUAGCGUUCGUUUCGACCGAGGAGGACGAAAUGGUUUUCUUUACCCCGUCUUGAAACACGGACCAAGGAGUCUAACAUAUGUGCGAGUACAGGGGUGGCAAACCCCCGUGCGCAAUGAAAGUGAUAGUGGCUGGAUAUUUGCACAGUCCGCCGGCCCCAAUCCUUCGGGAGAAUGGUCUGAGUGUGAGCACGUAUGUUGGGACCCGAAAGAUGGUGAACUAUGCCUGAAUAGGGCGAAGCCAGGGGAAACUCUGGUGGAGGCUCGUAGCGAUUCUGACGUGCAAAUCGAUCGUCAAAUUUGGGUAUAGGGGCGAAAGACUAAUCGAACCAUACUAGUAGCUGGUUCCCUCCGAAGUUUCCCUCAGGA
Molecule: ribosomal RNA, 877 nt
Filed under: uncultured eukaryote
Lineage: Eukaryota
Description: eukaryotic LSU rRNA
Rfam family: Eukaryotic large subunit ribosomal RNA
Source: RNAcentral